CGCUAUCACUCCUACGGGGAGGCAGCAGUAGGGAAUCUUCCACAAUGGGCGCAAGCCUGAUGGAGCAACACCGCGUGAGUGAAGAAGGGUUUCGGCUCGUAAAGCUCUGUUGUUAAAGAAGAACACGUAUGAGAGUAACUGUUCAUACGUUGACGGUAUUUAACCAGAAAGUCGCGGCUAACUACGUGCCAGCAGCCGCGGUAAUACGUAGGUGGCAAGCGUUAUCCGGAUUUAUUGGGCGUAAAGAGAGUGCAGGCGGUUUUCUAAGUCUGAUGUGAAAGCCUUCGGCUUAACCGGAGAAGUGCAUCGGAAACUGGAUAACUUGAGUGCAGAAGAGGGUAGUGGAACUCCAUGUGUAGCGGUGGAAUGCGUAGAUAUAUGGAAGAACACCAGUGGCGAAGGCGGCUACCUGGUCUGCAACUGACGCUGAGACUCGAAAGCAUGGGUAGCGAACAGGAUUAGAUACCCUGGUAG
This 474-nucleotide ribosomal RNA is filed under the name uncultured bacterium. RNAcentral's name for it is "bacterial SSU rRNA". It matches the Rfam family "Bacterial small subunit ribosomal RNA", at positions 328 to 793 of the family's 1533-position model. The record is from RNAcentral.